UGGGGAAUUUUGGACAAUGGGCGAAAGCCUGAUCCAGCAAUGCCGCGUGUGUGAAGAAGGCCUUCGGGUUGUAAAGCACUUUUGUCCGGAAAGAAAUCCUCUGGGUUAAUACCUCGGGGGGAUGACGGUACCGGAAGAAUAAGCACCGGCUAACUACGUGCCAGCAGCCGCGGUAAUACGUAGGGUGCAAGCGUUAAUCGGAAUUACUGGGCGUAAAGCGUGCGCAGGCGGUUUUGUAAGACGGAUGUGAAAUCCCCCGGGCUUAACCUGGGAACUGCAUUCGUGACUGCAAGGCUAGAGUAUGGCAGAGGGGGGUAGAAUUCCACGUGUAGCAGUGAAAUGCGUAGAGAUGUGGAGGAAUACCGAUGGCGAAGGCAGCCCCCUGGGCCAAUACUGACGCUCAUGCACGAAAGCGUGGGGAGCAAACAGGAUUAGAUACCCUGGUAGUCCACGCCCUAAACGAUGUUAACUAGUUGUUGGGGAUUCAUUUCCUUACUAACGUGGCUAACGCGUGAAGUUGACCGCCUGGGGAGUACGGUCGCAAGAUUAAAACUCAAAUGAAUUGACGGGGUCAUAGCUGUUUCCU
This 586-nucleotide ribosomal RNA is filed under the name uncultured bacterium. RNAcentral's name for it is "partial 16S ribosomal RNA". It matches the Rfam family "Bacterial small subunit ribosomal RNA", at positions 355 to 1375 of the family's 1533-position model. The record is from RNAcentral.